GACGAACGCUGGCGGCGUGCCUAAUACAUGCAAGUUGAGCGCUGAAGGUUGGUACUUGUUCCAACUGGAUGAGCAGCGAACGGGUGAGUAACGCGUGGGUAAUCUGCCUUUGAGCGGGGGACAACAUCUGGAAACGAAUGCUAAUACCGCAUAAAAACUUUAAACACAAGUUUUAAGUUUGAAAGAUGCAAUUGCAUCACUCAAAGAUGAUCCCGCGUUGUAUUAGCUAGUUGGUGAGGUAAAGGCUCACCAAAGCGAUGAAACAUAGCCGAACUGAGAGGGGGGAUGGCCAAAAUGGGAAUGAGACACGGCCCAAGACCCUACGGGGAGCAGCAAGAGGGGAACUUCGGCAAUGGACGAAAGGCUGAACGAGCCACGCCGCGGGGGGGAAGAAGGGUUUCGGAUCGUAAAAAUCUGUUGGUAGAGAAGAAAGUUGGUGAGAGUGGAAAGCUCAUGAAGUGACGGUAACUACCCAGAAAGGGACGGCUAACUACGUG
RNAcentral lists this ribosomal RNA (497 nucleotides) under uncultured bacterium. RNAcentral describes it as "partial 16S ribosomal RNA". It matches the Rfam family "Bacterial small subunit ribosomal RNA", at positions 28 to 507 of the family's 1533-position model. The record is from RNAcentral.